UAGCUGAGUCAGUUGAGCAUAGCGCUAACAACGCUAAGGUCGCGGGUUCGAUUCCCAU
Non-coding RNA from Apaloderma vittatum (bar-tailed trogon), 58 nucleotides. The record is from Rfam. Lineage: Eukaryota; Metazoa; Chordata; Aves; Trogoniformes; Trogonidae.